CCAAAAACUUAGCUUAACCCCUCUUCUUAAUGUACACACAACCAUUUAACAAAUUAAUAAAACAUUUUACACAUUUAGUAAAGGCGAUAAAAAAAUGUCUAAGAGCUAUAAAACUAGUACCGCAAGGGAAUAGUGAAAUAUUAAUGAAAAACUCCAAGCACACAAAAGCAGAGCUUUAACCUCGUACCUUUUGCAUCAUGGUCUAACUAGUCUAAUCAAGCAAAACGAAUUUUAAGUUUGACCCCCCGAAACUAGGUGAGCUACUUAAAAACAGCCUUAUGGGCCAACCCGUCUCUGUUGCAAAAGAGUGGGAAGAUUUUUUAAGUAGAGGUGACAAACCUACCGAACCUAGAGAUAGCUGGUUAUUCAGGAAAAGGAUUUAAGUCCUACCUUAGGUUAUUCGUAUAUUAUAA
Molecule: ribosomal RNA, 413 nt
Filed under: Microhyla malang
Lineage: Eukaryota; Metazoa; Chordata; Amphibia; Anura; Microhylidae
Description: partial large subunit ribosomal RNA
Rfam family: Bacterial large subunit ribosomal RNA (bases 164-413)
Source: RNAcentral